RNAcentral lists this ribosomal RNA (253 nucleotides) under uncultured bacterium. RNAcentral describes it as "partial 16S ribosomal RNA". It matches the Rfam family "Bacterial small subunit ribosomal RNA", at positions 524 to 776 of the family's 1533-position model. The record is from RNAcentral.
UACAGAGAGUGCAAACGUUGUUCGGAAUUACUGGGCUUGAAGCGCACGUAGGCGGCAUCGCAAGUGCGGGGUGAAAUCCCACGGCUUACCCGUGGAACUGCCUGGCAGACUGCGAUGCUCGAGUGUGGUAGGGGAGAACGGAACUCCUGGUGGAGCGGUGAAAUGCGUAGAUAUCAGGAGGAACACCGGUGGCGAAGGCGGUUCUCUGGUCCACAACUGACGCUGAGGUGCGAAAGCUAGGGGAGCAAACGGG